Molecule: ribosomal RNA, 990 nt
Filed under: Mycolicibacterium phocaicum
Lineage: Bacteria; Bacillati; Actinomycetota; Actinomycetes; Mycobacteriales; Mycobacteriaceae
Description: bacterial SSU rRNA
Rfam family: Bacterial small subunit ribosomal RNA
Source: RNAcentral
AGACGAACGCGCGGCGUGCUACACAUGCAGUCGAACGGAAAGGGCCUUCGGGGUACUCGAGUGGCGAACGGGUGAGUAACACGUGGGUGAUCUGCCCUGCACUUUGGGAUAAGCUGGGAAACUGGGUCUAAUACCGAAUAGGACCACGCGCUUCAUGGUGUGUGGUGGAAAGCUUUUGCGGUGUGGGAUGGGCCCGCGGCCUAUCAGCUUGUUGGUGGGGUAAUGGCCUACCAAGGCGACGACGGGUAGCCGGCCUGAGAGGGUGACCGGCCACACUGGGACUGAGAUACGGCCCAGACUCCUACGGGAGGCAGCAGUGGGGAAUAUUGCACAAUGGGCGCAAGCCUGAUGCAGCGACGCCGCGUGAGGGAUGACGGCCUUCGGGUUGUAAACCUCUUUCAACAGGGACGAAGCGUNAGUGACGGUACCUAUAGAAGAAGCACCGGCCAACUACGUGCCAGCAGCCGCGGUAAUACGUAGGGUGCGAGCGUUGUCCGGAAUUACUGGGCGUAAAGAGCUCGUAGGUGGUUUGUCGCGUUGUUCGUGAAAACUCACAGCUUAACUGUGGGCGUGCGGGCGAUACGGGCAGACUAGAGUACUGCAGGGGAGACUGGAAUUCCUGGUGUAGCGGUGGAAUGCGCAGAUAUCAGGAGGAACACCGGUGGCGAAGGCGGGUCUCUGGGCAGUAACUGACGCUGAGGAGCGAAAGCGUGGGGAGCGAACAGGAUUAGAUACCCUGGUAGUCCACGCCGUAAACGGUGGGUACUAGGUGUGGGUUCCUUCCUUGGGAUCCGUGCCGUAGCUAACGCAUUAAGUACCCCGCCUGGGGAGUACGGCCGCAAGGCUAAAACUCAAAGGAAUUGACGGGGGCCCGCACAAGCGGCGGAGCAUGUGGAUUAAUUCGAUGCAACGCGAAGAACCUUACCUGGGUUUGACAUGCACAGGACGCCGGCAGAGAUGUCGGUUCCCUUGUGGCCUGUGUGCAGGUGG